RNAcentral lists this ribosomal RNA (30 nucleotides) under Tricholoma mutabile. RNAcentral's name for it is "partial 28S ribosomal RNA". The record is from RNAcentral. Lineage: Eukaryota; Fungi; Basidiomycota; Agaricomycetes; Agaricales; Tricholomataceae.
CCUCAAAUCAAGUAGGACUACCCGCUGAAC